GUCCCCUUCGUCUAGUGGCCUAGGACGCCACCCUUUCACGGUGGAAACAGGGGUUCGAGUCCCCUAGGGGACGCCA
Molecule: transfer RNA, 76 nt
Filed under: Magnetococcales bacterium
Lineage: Bacteria; Pseudomonadati; Pseudomonadota; Magnetococcia; Magnetococcales
Description: tRNA-Glu
Rfam family: tRNA
About the family: Transfer RNA (tRNA) molecules are approximately 80 nucleotides in length.
Source: RNAcentral